Non-coding RNA from Capsicum annuum, 107 nucleotides. The record is from Rfam. NCBI's taxonomy places the organism in Eukaryota, Viridiplantae, Streptophyta, Magnoliopsida, Solanales, Solanaceae.
UGAUGAUGGUGAGGGAAAUUUUUUAGCAUACUUUUAAAUCUCUCCCGAACUUAGUAGAGAUUCUCUCCUUCUUAUUGUCUGAAACUCAGAAUUUUGCUUCUCAAAUA